AUUGAACGCUGGCGGCAUGCCUUACACAUGCAAGUCGAACGGUAACAGGUCUUCGGAUGCUGACGAGUGGCGAACGGGUGAGUAAUACAUCGGAACGUGCCUAGUAGUGGGGAUAACUACUCGAAAGAGUGGCUAAUACCGCAUGAGAUCUACGGAUGAAAGCAGGGGAUCGCAAGACCUUGUGCUACUUGAGCGGGCGAUGGCAGGUUAGGGAGUUGGUGGGAUAAAAGCUUACCAAGCCGACUGUCUGUAGCUGGACUGUGAGGACGAUCAGCCACACUGGGACUGAGACACGGCCCAGACUCCUACGGGAGGCAGCAGUGGGGAAUUUUGGACAAUGGGCGAAAGCCUGAUCCAGCAAUGCCGCGUGCAGGAUGAAGGCCUUCGGGUUGUAAACUGCUUUUGUACGGAACGAAAAGCCCCGGGUUAAUACCCUGGGGUCAUGACGGUACCGUAAGAAUAAGCACCGGCUAACUACGUGCCAGCAGCCGCCGUAA
Molecule: ribosomal RNA, 497 nt
Filed under: uncultured bacterium
Lineage: Bacteria
Description: partial 16S ribosomal RNA
Rfam family: Bacterial small subunit ribosomal RNA
Source: RNAcentral